Molecule: ribosomal RNA, 212 nt
Filed under: Candidatus Carsonella ruddii
Lineage: Bacteria; Pseudomonadati; Pseudomonadota; Gammaproteobacteria; Oceanospirillales; Halomonadaceae
Description: partial 16S ribosomal RNA
Rfam family: Bacterial small subunit ribosomal RNA
Source: RNAcentral
AUCUUAUAAAAUUACUCUUAGUUCGGAUUGAAAUCUGCAACUCGAUUUCAUGAAGUAGGAAUCGCUAGUAAUCGUAAAUCAGAAUGUUACGGUGAAUACGUUCUCGAGCCUUGUACACACCGCCCGUCACACCAUGGAAGUAAAUUGUAUCAUAAGUAAUUUUAUUAUUAUUAAGGUAUGGUUUGUAACUGGGGUGAAGUCGUAACAAGGUA